GACGAACGCUGGCGGCGUGCUUAACACAUGCAAGUCGAACGGAAAGGCCCUGCUUUUGUGUGGUGCGCGAGUGACGAACGGGUGAGUAACACGUGAGUAACCUGCCUUUGACGUUGGGAUAACUGCAGGGAACUGGAGCUAAUACCGAUUAAAUGCUCCUGCUCCAUGGUGGUUGUUGGAAAGGUUGGGCGGUUGUGGAUGGACUCGCGGCUUAUCAGCUGGUUGGUGGGGUAGUGGCUUACCAAGGGUUUGAUGGGUAGCCGGCCUGAGAGGGUGACCGGACAAAUGGGGACUGAGCUACGGCCGAGACUAGUACGGGAGGCAGGAGUAGGGAAUAUAGCCUGAUGGGCGGAAGCCUCAUGCAGGAACGCGGCGCGAGGGAUGGCGGCCUUCGGUUGGAAAACCGCUUUCGCAUGCGCGGAAGCGUGAGUGAAGGUAAUGGGUGAAGAAGCACCGGCUAACUACGUG
This 468-nucleotide ribosomal RNA is filed under the name uncultured bacterium. RNAcentral describes it as "partial 16S ribosomal RNA". It matches the Rfam family "Bacterial small subunit ribosomal RNA", at positions 28 to 507 of the family's 1533-position model. The record is from RNAcentral.